GGCUUAACACAUGCAAGUCGAGGGGCAGCAUGGUCUUAGCUUGCUAAGGCCGAUGGCGACCGGCGCACGGGUGAGUAACACGUAUCCAACCUGCCGUCUACUCUUGGACAGCCUUCUGAAAGGAAGAUUAAUACAAGAUGGCAUCAUGAGUCCGCAUGUUCACAUGAUUAAAGGUAUUCCGGUAGACGAUGGGGAUGCGUUCCAUUAGAUAGUAGGCGGGGUAACGGCCCACCUAGUCUUCGAUGGAUAGGGGUUCUGAGAGGAAGGUCCCCCACAUUGGAACUGAGACACGGUCCAAACUCCUACGGGAGGCAGCAGUGAGGAAUAUUGGUCAAUGGGCGAGAGCCUGAACCAGCCAAGUAGCGUGAAGGAUGACUGCCCUAUGGGUUGUAAACUUCUUUUAUAAAGGAAUAAAGUCGGGUAUGGAUACCCGUUUGCAUGUACUUUAUGAAUAAGGAUCGGCUAACUCCGUGCCAGCAGCCGCGGUAAUACGGAGGAUCCGAGCGUUAUCCGGAUUUAUUGGGUUUAAAGGGAGCGUAGAUGGAUGUUUAAGUCAGUUGUGAAAGUUUGCGGCUCAACCGUAAAAUUGCAGUUGAUACUGGAUAUCUUGAGUGCAGUUGAGGCAGGCGGAAUUCGUGGUGUAGCGGUGAAAUGCUUAGAUAUCACGAAGAACUCCGAUUGCGAAGGCAGCCUGCUAAGCUGCAACUGACAUUGAGGCUCGAAAGUGUGGGUACCAAACAGGAUUAGAUACCCUGGUAGUCCACACGGUAAACGAUGAAUACUCGCUGUUUGCGAUAUACAGCAAGCGGCCAAGCGAAAGCGUUAAGUAUUCCACCUGGGGAGUACGCCGGCAACGGUGAAACUCAAAGGAAUUGACGGGGGCCCGCACAAGCGGAGGAACAUGUGGUUUAAUUCGAUGAUACGCGAGGAACCUUACCCGGGCUUAAAUUGCAGAUGAAUUACGGUGAAAGCCGUAAGCCGCAAGGCAUCUGUGAAGGUGCCGCAUGGUUGUCGUCAGCUCGUGCCGUGAGGUGUCGGCUUAAGUGCCAUAACGAGCGCAACCCUUGUUGUCAGUUACUAACAGGUUCCGCUGAGGACUCUGACAAGACUGCCAUCGUAAGAUGUGAGGAAGGUGGGGAUGACGUCAAAUCAGCACGGCCCUUACGUCCGGGGCUACACACGUGUUACAAUGGGGGGUACAGAGGGCCGCUACCACGCGAGUGGAUGCCAAUCCCCAAAACCUCUCUCAGUUCGGACUGGAGUCUGCAACCCGACUCCACGAAGCUGGAUUCGCUAGUAAUCGCGCAUCAGCCACGGCGCGGUGAAUACGUUCCCGGGCCUUGUACACACCGCCCGUCAAGCCAUGGGAGCCGGGGGCACCUGAAGUGCGUAACCGCGAGGAGCGCCCUAGGGUAAAACUGGUGACUGGGGCUAAGUCGU
This 1440-nucleotide ribosomal RNA is filed under the name uncultured organism. RNAcentral describes it as "SSU rRNA". It matches the Rfam family "Bacterial small subunit ribosomal RNA". The record is from RNAcentral.